This 260-nucleotide long non-coding RNA is filed under the name Gossypium barbadense (sea-island cotton). Its description in RNAcentral is "long non-coding RNA (GBAR_LNC010763)". Lineage: Eukaryota; Viridiplantae; Streptophyta; Magnoliopsida; Malvales; Malvaceae. The record is from RNAcentral.
UAAAUUUUGGACUUUAGUAUGGCAUGUACUUAAGUUUAAAUAUGGUAUUUGUAUACAAGUACUAGUGAAAAUACUUGAUAAAUUUUUAAAUAUUAUAUUAACUUAGUGACUUGGUUAAAUUAGUAACUGAGUGACUAAAUGUGACACCUAUUGCUUGGGCUAUCGGUUUAAAAUGAGUGAUGAGCGUUACAAUUAAAGCAUGCUAACAUUCUAUAACAUAAAUAAAAUAAAAUCCAUUUAAGAUAAAUAUAAAAAGUCAC